GACGAACGCUGGCGGCGUGCUUAACACAUGCAAGUCGAACGGAAAGGCUCCAGCUUGCUGGAGUACUCGAGUGGCGAACGGGUGAGUAACACGUGGGUAAUCUGCCCUGCACUCUGGGAUAAGCCUGGGAUACUGGGUCUAAUACUGGAUAUGACCUUUCUCCUUAUGGGGUUUGGUGGAAAGUUUUUCGGUGUAGGAUGAGCCCGCGGCCUAUCAGCUUGUUGGUGGGGUGAUGGCCUACCAAGGCGACGACGGGUAGCCGGCCUGAGAGGGUGAUCGGCCACAUUGGGACUGAGAUACGGCCCAGACUCCUACGGGAGGCAGCAGUGGGGAAUAUUGCACAAUGGGCGGAAGCCUGAUGCAGCGACGCCGCGUGAGGGAUGACGGCCUUCGGGUUGUAAACCUCUUUCAGCAGGGACGAAGCGUAAGUGACGGUACCUGCAGAAGAAGCACCGGCUAACUAUGUG
RNAcentral lists this ribosomal RNA (467 nucleotides) under uncultured bacterium. Its description in RNAcentral is "partial 16S ribosomal RNA". It matches the Rfam family "Bacterial small subunit ribosomal RNA", at positions 28 to 507 of the family's 1533-position model. The record is from RNAcentral.